GGACAAGGCGUAGGCGUGAACAUUACUUCCGGUCCACUUUCUUACCGGUAUCGCCUUUACCAGAUUAAGCUCCACUUUGGGAGGGAAAACCAAUCCGGCUCCGAACAUACAGUUGACGGGCGCGGAUAUGAUGGAGAGCUUCACUUCAUGGCGUACAAUACCGAAUUAUAUGCAAAUUACACUGAGGCCCAAACGAGCCCUAGAGGAAUAGCAAUAGUGGCGGUAUUCUUAACGAUAGGAAAGUUCGACCAUUCCGCAUUUAAGAUCUUACAGGAAAGGUUUUUCGUAAUUGACAAACAAG
Long non-coding RNA from Dreissena polymorpha, 301 nucleotides. RefSeq lists it as uncharacterized. The record is from RefSeq and is a predicted model, not a curated record. Lineage: Eukaryota; Metazoa; Mollusca; Bivalvia; Myida; Dreissenidae. The transcript is spliced from 3 exons.